AGAUGUUUCAGAUGUAUAUCAGUUUCCCCUGCUAAGCUAGGCUAGCAGUUUCCCAUGGCGUCCAGUCUUUUCGCUAAGCUACGCUAGCACUUUUCCCCGGCUUCCAGUCUUUUCGCUAAGCUACGCUAGCAGUUUCCCCCGGCUUCCAGUCUUUUCGCUAAGCUACGUUAAUAGUUUCCCGGCUUCCAGUCUUUUUCCGAAGCUACGCUAUCAGUUCCCCGGCUUCCAAUCUUUUCACUAAGCUACGUUAGCAGUAACCCGGCUUCCAGUCUUUUUCGCUAAGCUACGCUAGCAGUUUCCCGGCUUCCAGUCUUUUCGCUAAGCUACGUUAGCAGUUUCCCCCGGCCUCCAGUCUUUUCGCUAAGCUAUGCUAAUGGUUUCCCCCGGCUUCCAGUCUUUUUCCGAAGCUACGCUAGCAGUUUCCCGGCUUCCAGUCUUUUCGCUAAGCUAUGCUAACCAUGUCCCGGACACAGAGAUGAAACUAAUAUGAAACAUCCGGUUCCACAAAACAUUUUAAAAACUGGAUUCCUGUAAACGUUGAACUCUUGUUGAAACUUUACAGCUCAGUCACUAACACGGUGCUCAGUCUGAUUGUGGCUCUGGAUGUCCCGGUGUGAUUCUAGCGUGUGUUUGGCGUGUAAAGCAGACACCCCUCCCCCCAGUAACUCAGCCUUACACUUCCCAUCAUCACCAGUUGUCUCAGUGUGGUGAAACAUGUUUUAAAUUUAAAUCUGAGUGACUUCUGUUGAGCAGUUGUUGGUUAUUUUAAUUCUUUUCUAUGACUUUUAUUUUCUUUCUAU
Molecule: long non-coding RNA, 800 nt
Organism: Sander lucioperca (pikeperch)
Lineage: Eukaryota; Metazoa; Chordata; Actinopteri; Perciformes; Percidae
Exons: 2
Source: RefSeq, a predicted model, not a curated record